UAGAAGAUACAAAGGCAAAGACACAUACGGAGUUUAGCUACACCAUCAAAGCUUUGAGAA
This 60-nucleotide small RNA is filed under the name Arabidopsis thaliana (thale cress). Its description in RNAcentral is "ATSL268690". The record is from RNAcentral. Lineage: Eukaryota; Viridiplantae; Streptophyta; Magnoliopsida; Brassicales; Brassicaceae.